Molecule: ribosomal RNA, 497 nt
Filed under: uncultured bacterium
Lineage: Bacteria
Description: partial 16S ribosomal RNA
Rfam family: Bacterial small subunit ribosomal RNA
Source: RNAcentral
GAUGAACGCUGGCGGCGUGCCUAAUACAUGCAAGUCGAGCGAACAGAUAAGGAGCUUGCUCCUUUGACGUUAGCGGCGGACGGGUGAGUAACACGUGGGUAACCUACCUAUAAGACUGGAAUAACUCCGGGAAACCAGGGCUAAUGCCGGAUAACAUUUAGAACCGCAUGGUUCUAAAGUGAAAGAUGGUUUUACUAUCACUUAUAGAUGGACCCGCGCCGUAUUAGCUAGUUGGUAAGGUAACGGCUUACCAAGGCAACGAUACGUAGCCGACCUGAGAGGGUGAUCGGCCACACUGGAACUGAGACACGGUCCAGACUCCUACGGGAGGCAGCAGUAGGGAAUCUUCCGCAAUGGGCGAAAGCCUGACGGAGCAACGCCGCGUGAGUGAUGAAGGUCUUCGGAUCGUAAAACUCUGUUAUUAGGGAAGAACAAAUGUGUAAGUAACUGUGCACGUCUUGACGGUACCUAAUCAGAAAGCCACGGCUAACUACGUG